Molecule: long non-coding RNA, 152 nt
Organism: Bradysia coprophila
Lineage: Eukaryota; Metazoa; Arthropoda; Insecta; Diptera; Sciaridae
Source: RefSeq, a predicted model, not a curated record
AUUGUGUAUUUUACAACAAACAUUCACCAUUUCGAUUGCUUGCUGAUUUAACACUAGAUUUUACCAAUGUCCGUGGCUUUGGAUAGAUUCAAUUGUUGAUUGUUGACUGUUGUAUGAUUGACUAAACAAUCAACAAUUGAAUGUCUCCAAAG